This 254-nucleotide ribosomal RNA is filed under the name uncultured bacterium. Its description in RNAcentral is "partial 16S ribosomal RNA". It matches the Rfam family "Bacterial small subunit ribosomal RNA", at positions 524 to 776 of the family's 1533-position model. The record is from RNAcentral.
UACGUAGGGUGCGAGCGUUGUCCGGAAUUAUUGGGCGUAAGGAGCUCGUAGGCGGUGUGUCACGUCGGCCGUGAAAACCUGCAGCUUAACUGUGGGCGUGCGGUCGAUACGGGCAUCACUGGAGUUCGGCAGGGGAGACUGGAAUUCCUGGUGUAGCGGUGAAAUGCGCAGAUAUCAGGAGGAAUACCGAUGGCGAAGGCAGGUCUCUGGGCUAUAACUGACGCUCAUGCACGAAAGCGUGGGGAGCAAACAGG